AGUGAACGCUGGCGGUAGACCUAACACAUGCAAGUCGAACGGCAGCACAGUAAGAGCUUGCUCUUACGGGUGGCGAGUGGCGGACGGUUGAGGAAUACAUCGGAAUCUACUUUUUCGUGGGGGAUAACGUAGGGAAACUUACGCUACUACCGCAUACGUCCUACGGGUGAAAGCAGGGGAUCUUCGGACCUUGCGCGAUUGAAUGAGCCGAGGUCGGAUUAGCUAGUUGGCGGGGUAAAGGACCACCAAGGCGACGAUCCGUAGCUGGUCUGAGCGGAUGAUCAGCCACACUGGAACUGAGACACGGUCCAGAAUCCUACGGGAGGCAGCAGUUGGGAAUAUUGGAGAAUGGGCGCAAGCCUGAUCCAGCCAUACCGCGUGGGGGAAGAAGGCCUUCGGGUUGUAAAGCCCUUUUGUUGGGAAAGAAAAGCAGCAGGUUAAUACCCCGCUGUUCUGACGGUACCCAAAUAAUAAGCACCGGCUAACUUCGUG
This 492-nucleotide ribosomal RNA is filed under the name uncultured bacterium. Its description in RNAcentral is "partial 16S ribosomal RNA". It matches the Rfam family "Bacterial small subunit ribosomal RNA", at positions 29 to 507 of the family's 1533-position model. The record is from RNAcentral.